AGGAGAACUCUAUGGCUGCCAUUUCAUAUGUGCUCUUAGCUGGAAUUUACUAGCAAAAACUAAUCUGUGUUAAAAUUAAGUGUUAUUUUUGACUGGUCGGGUUUUUUUCUGCAUUUGUUACCCAGUUCAUUUUUCCUUGUUGCUGUACAAAUGCUUUUGUUUGGAUGUGAAAUGGGUUGGUGAAGGACAGGAAGAAGCAGCUGUCAAGCAGGACUACUUUUUGUGAGGGUAGUGCUGCCUUAAAUUGCAUGUUAAUUUACAGUCAUUUCUUACUGAUGUUGUUGUAACAGAGUCAACCACUGGAGCAGAGAAGAGGGCUAGACUCUUUUUCUUAAACUGCCAUCAUGCAGCCUCUCCUGUGUGACAGCAAAGAACAGCAAGGACAAGGGCUGUAUGCUGGGAAACUUUGGAGUGUAAGAUUCCCUUAGACACACUGGCCUCCAGGUGGGGAAAGAGGUUUUACAUAACAUGAAGUUGACUCACUCCCUCCAGCCUUCUAUAUGACAUCCUUCCUAGAGGCCACAGAAUAUUUUGGGAAUAGAAAUUUGACAUGAUGGACUCAAAGCUUCAGUCCCAGAUUUACAGCAACAUGGUGUGCUGUUGAUUUUUCACAAAGAAGUCACCAGAAACAUAGCUCCGAGAAGCUUUUGCUCUGAAAGAAAUGACGUGAUUGCAGUUCAGAAGCUAAGGAAGCUGCCAAAAAACAUAAGAUGUAAUGUGAGGAGGCCACAUGGCUUCCGGUAUAAAGAUUCACUAACUGUCAUUAUGACAAAGAAGUUAUCUUUUUGGACAGUAAGGGCUGCAAGGGCUUUGAGGCACUGAAGAUG
This 827-nucleotide long non-coding RNA is filed under the name Numida meleagris (helmeted guineafowl). RNAcentral's name for it is "lncRNA (ENSNMEG00000014690.1)". The record is from RNAcentral. Lineage: Eukaryota; Metazoa; Chordata; Aves; Galliformes; Numididae.